Molecule: ribosomal RNA, 671 nt
Filed under: uncultured Minidiscus
Lineage: Eukaryota; Bacillariophyta; Thalassiosirophyceae; Thalassiosirales; Thalassiosiraceae
Description: eukaryotic LSU rRNA
Rfam family: Eukaryotic large subunit ribosomal RNA
Source: RNAcentral
UAUGGUUCUUAGAUUAGAUAAGACUACCCGCUGAAUUUAAGCAUAUAACUAAGCGGAGGAAAAGAAACUAACAAGGAUUCCCCUAGUAACGGCGAGUGAAGCGGGAAGAGCUCACCAUGUGAAUCUCUAUAACCAGCAAUGGUAUAGCGAAUUGUGGUCUGGAGAAGUAUUGUCGGCCGUGAAUCCGGGCCAAGUCUCUUGGAAAAGGGCAGCUGAGAGGGUGAAACUCCCGUUCUUGCCUGGAAUCAUUGCGCUCUGGCACAUGCUUUCUACGAGUCGAGUUGUUUGGGAUUACAGCUCAAAGUAUGUCGUAACUUCGAUAUAAAGCUAAAUAUUGGUGGGACACCGAUAGUGUACAAGUACCGUGAGGGAAAGAUGCAAAGAACUUUGAAAAGAGAGUUAAAGAGUACCUGAAAUUGUUAAAAGGGAAGCGAAGGAAACCAGUGUUUGGCGAAUCCAUUCUUCCCAAGCUACUUGUAGUUUGGGCGCUGUGGUUAGCAAUAGUCAGCAUUGGCUUAAUCUGGGUCAAACGUUUGGUGGGUAGGCGGCUCUUCGGAGUUAGUGCCCAUCUUUCAUGCUCUGGAUUGGGCUGAGGUCAGUCACUCUGUGCUCGUGAUGCUGGCAAAAUGGUUUUCUUUACCCCGUCUUGAAACACGGACCAAGGAGUCUAA